GUGGGGAAUAUUGCGCAAUGGGCGAAAGCCUGACGCAGCGACGCCGCGUGAGGGAUGAAGGUUUUCGGAUCGUAAACCUCUGUCAGAAGGGAAGAAACUACAUUGUGCUAAUCAGCAGUGUACUGACGGUACCUUCAAAGGAAGCACCGGCUAACUCCGUGCCAGCAGUCGCGGUAAUACGGAGGGUGCAAGCGUUAAUCGGAAUUACUGGGCGUAAAGCGCACGUAGGCUGUAGUGUAAGUCAGGGGUGAAAUCCCACGGCUCAACCGUGGAACUGCCUUUGAUACUGCACAACUUGAAUCCGGGAGAGGGUGGCGGAAUUCCAGGUGUAGGAGUGAAAUCCGUAGAUAUCUGGAGGAACAUCAGUGGCGAAGGCGGCCACCUGGACCGGUAUUGACGCUGAGGUGCGAAAGCGUGGGGAGCAAACAGGAUUAGAAACCCGUGUAGUCC
RNAcentral lists this ribosomal RNA (450 nucleotides) under uncultured bacterium. RNAcentral's name for it is "partial 16S ribosomal RNA". It matches the Rfam family "Bacterial small subunit ribosomal RNA", at positions 354 to 796 of the family's 1533-position model. The record is from RNAcentral.